UGCGUAGGCGGUUUACUGAGUCAGAUGUGAAAGCCCCGGGCUUAACCUGGGAACUGCAUUUGAUACUGGUAGGCUAGAGUAUGAUAGAGGGGGGUAGAAUUCCUGGUGUAGCGGUGAAAUGCGUAGAUAUCAGGAGGAAUACCAGUGGCGAAGGCGACUUCCUGGGCCAAUACUGACGCUGAGGUGCGAAAGCGGUGGGGAGCAAACA
RNAcentral lists this ribosomal RNA (208 nucleotides) under uncultured bacterium. Its description in RNAcentral is "partial 16S ribosomal RNA". It matches the Rfam family "Bacterial small subunit ribosomal RNA", at positions 568 to 774 of the family's 1533-position model. The record is from RNAcentral.